AAUGGAGAAUGGAAACAAAAAUCGGAGCAGCAAAGAACAACAAAGGCCAACAAAGAUGAAGUUUCGAGAUCUGAAAACACAGCGGCGCCAUAAACACAUGAGAUCUGGACUAUACGACAGCGAGAAUUCAUCCGCGGAGGUUGUUUGACGAUGAACACCAGGCAGGGUACGAAGAACAACAACCAACACGCUUAGAUUCGGUAGGCGGAGGCCGCCACGGAGCUCCAAAAUAGACGAUAUUACAACCGGAAAAGGAGUAAAGGCAAGUAAGAGCUCGAUUUGUCCAGGUGUGAGUUAAAGCAUAAGAAAUCUUCGAUGAGGAGCCACAACCGAGUUUGAGCAGAGAAUUGAUCUCUUUAGAUCUGAUCGAAAAUGGAGGCGUGGAGCCAUUGAACCGAGAUAGCAUUGAAAUUUUCAGAAAAGUAUCUAGCACAGGCCUUAGGUGGUUCAACGAUUUGCCCAAAUGCUUUAUCGCCUCUCAUGGUUUAUCGGCUCACCAGCUCAUCGGCUCUUCGCUCCAACAGCUCUUGGAGCGUCCAAUUUUUGAAGUGCCCCUCUGUGAG
This 563-nucleotide long non-coding RNA is filed under the name Daucus carota (carrot). Its description in RNAcentral is "long non-coding RNA (DCAR_LNC002021)". The record is from RNAcentral. Lineage: Eukaryota; Viridiplantae; Streptophyta; Magnoliopsida; Apiales; Apiaceae.